GAUCAUAAAAUCUUUCUAUCAGACUUAUGACUGUUGACUUCCCACUUCCACUUUGCCCGACCAAAGCUGCAGUUGUGCCACUUGGUACAAAUAAUGAAAAUCCACCGAAUAUUUUCUCAUCAGGUCUGGCUGGGUAACUGAAGCACACAUCAUUCAAUUCAAUAUCACCACGGAUGUCGUCCAAUAUUUUUCCAUUGGUAUCAUAAGCAUCUAUCUCUGGCUUUCUUUUUAUGGUUUCAAACAUUUUGAAAGCUGCCGCUUGACCUGCAGCGAAUGCAGACAUACAGGGAGCUGCCUGCCC
This is a long non-coding RNA of Solanum verrucosum, 301 nucleotides long. RefSeq lists it as uncharacterized. Lineage: Eukaryota; Viridiplantae; Streptophyta; Magnoliopsida; Solanales; Solanaceae. The record is from RefSeq and is a predicted model, not a curated record. The transcript has 2 exons.